GAACAUGGCGGGACGAGUUAUGUGGCGGAACGAGUUAUUAUUUACUUAUUAGACGGGUGGCGAGCGCGGCGCCCAGUGAGGGGGUGUGAAAAUGAACUAAGGCCAGUCCGAAUAGAAAUUAAAAACGUGACUCCACAGCGCGGGUAGCUUCAUCGUACGGCUAACGAGAAGAUACGACCUCUUGAUUAAAGAAAUAUCUCUUUAAUUUCAACAUCGCACAAAUGUGAAAUAGAAGAAAGGUACGGAACACCGAAGGAACGAUAUCUUCGAUAGAAAUUGUCUCAAAUGUAUAGUCUACUGGUAACCAGAUACCGAGAGGUGGAUGCAUUUCUGCCUUAGUUUCUGUCCAAAGGAAUCUCCACCGAAGCUUCUCGCCAUUUCCUUUAGUUCCGCGUACUGUCUUCCACUGUGCCCAUUCACAAUCUCGCGUUGAAUGCAUUUUAGAUGUAUUUGCGAUAUGUGAUCUAAGAUUGCAACGUAAAUCGAAAUAGUAGAUAACGGUACGUUUGUAUUACUAUAUUAAGAAUUCUUUUUCUCUGUUUCUCUGAAUGAAAUGUGUCAUUUGUAUAAAAUUGAAACAUAGAAAGGGUUAAAAAUGUACAGGUAGAUUGAUAUUGUUUUCUAUAUUGAUUAAUUUGAUGUAAAACGAUUAUAUAAAAAAAUAUAAUAUAAGAAAUAGAAGAAAUAUGUUAUUUUUAAAUAUUAGUUACGUUAA
Molecule: long non-coding RNA, 715 nt
Organism: Apis cerana (Asiatic honeybee)
Lineage: Eukaryota; Metazoa; Arthropoda; Insecta; Hymenoptera; Apidae
Source: RefSeq, a predicted model, not a curated record